CAGGCUCCGGUUCACGACGCGGUUCCGAUGCAUUCCAGCUUCGUGCUCGCCCUGCGCGAGCCCGCUCGACCCGGCGGCC
The submitters of this non-coding RNA (79 nucleotides) gave its source as unclassified sequences. The record is from Rfam.